Molecule: ribosomal RNA, 467 nt
Filed under: uncultured bacterium
Lineage: Bacteria
Description: bacterial SSU rRNA
Rfam family: Bacterial small subunit ribosomal RNA
Source: RNAcentral
CAAGCGGUGGAGCAUGUGGUUCAAUUCGAAGCAACGCGCAGAACCUUACCAGCCUUUGACAUCCCGGUCGCGAGCACCAGAAAUGGAGCUUUUCAGUUCGGCUGGACCGGAGACAGGUGCUGCAUGGCUGUCGUCAGCUCGUGUCGUGAGAUGUUGGGUUAAGUCCCGCAACGAGCGCAACCCUCGCCCUUAGUUGCCAUCAUUUAGUUGGGCACUCUAAGGGGACUGCCGGUGAUAAGCCGGAGGAAGGUGGGGAUGACGUCAAGUCCUCAUGGCCCUUACAGGCUGGGCUACACACGUGCUACAAUGGCGGUGACAGAGGGACGCAAAGGAGUAAUCCUUCGCAAAUCUCAAAAAGCCGUCUCAGUUCGGAUUGUGCUCUGCAACUCGAGCACAUGAAGUUGGAAUCGCUAGUAAUCGCAGAUCAGCACGCUGCGGUGAAUACGUUCCCGGGCCUUGUACACACC